RNAcentral lists this ribosomal RNA (472 nucleotides) under uncultured organism. Its description in RNAcentral is "partial 16S ribosomal RNA". It matches the Rfam family "Bacterial small subunit ribosomal RNA", at positions 334 to 797 of the family's 1533-position model. The record is from RNAcentral.
CACUCCUGCGGGAGGCAGCAGUGGGGAAUAUUGCACCAUGGGCGCAAGCCUGAUGCAGCCAUGCCGCGUGUAUGAAGAAGGCCUUCGGGUUGUAAAGUACUUUCAGCGGGGAGGAAGGCAAUACGGUUAAUAACCGUGUUGAUUGACGUUACCCGCAGAAGAAGCACCGGCUAACUCCGUGCCAGCAGCCGCGGUAAUACGGAGGGUGCAAGCGUUAAUCGGAAUUACUGGGCGUAAAGCGCACGCAGGCGGUCUGUCAAGUCGGAUGUGAAAUCCCCGGGCUCAACCUGGGAACUGCAUGCGAAACUGGCAGGCUUGAGUCUUGUAGAGGGGGGUAGAAUUCCAGGUGUAGCGGUGAAAUGCGUAGAGAUCUGGAGGAAUACCGGUGGCGAAGGCGGCCCCCUGGACAAAGACUGACGCUCAGGUGCGAAAGCGUGGGGAGCAAACAGGAUUAGAUACCCCAGUAGUCCCA